RNAcentral lists this ribosomal RNA (167 nucleotides) under uncultured Deinococcus sp. Its description in RNAcentral is "partial 16S ribosomal RNA". It matches the Rfam family "Bacterial small subunit ribosomal RNA", at positions 367 to 525 of the family's 1533-position model. The record is from RNAcentral. Lineage: Bacteria; Thermotogati; Deinococcota; Deinococci; Deinococcales; Deinococcaceae.
CGCCGGCGGGCGCAAGCCUGAUGGAGCGACGCCGCGUGAGGGAUGAAGGUCUUCGGAUUGUAAACCUCUGUCACUGGGGAGAAAACGCUUUGAGUUAAUAGUUCAAAGCCUGAUUUAACCCGGAGAGGAAGCCGUGGCUAAAUCUGUGCCAGCAGCCGCGGUAAUUA